UUAUUUUUAGGGGGGGCAAACUAGGAAAAUAUUUCUAGUUUUAUGAGGGGCGUAUUAUAAAUCUAUUCUUUGCAGGGGAGGGGCGGAGCUCCCACCAGCCCCCCCGUCCCCGCCACUAUUGUCAACCCUACUUCGCUGUAGGUUAUAAACUAAGCUCGGCGGAUCUAAAGUGGAGUCUCGCUGGAAAGUCAAAAAGCAGAGAUGAAAAGGUCUUACAGGUGCCAAUAUGGGAGGGAAGGGAGGUGCAUCCCUAACCUGGGUUCGAUCUAAGAAUUCCAAUCACCCACUCCAAAACCACUAGGCAUAAGAUGCGCUCUUAGCCUCGUGACUUUCCUUCCUCUAGUAAGGAAAAGAACACAGGAGGCCAUGAAAGUGACCUUUCUACGAAUGCUUGUUGACCAUUGUUGAGAUCACAUAAAGUUUCAAAGACAAGGUUGGAAAACAAAGGAGGGAAGUGGGGAUAGAAAGAUGGAGGGGAAAUCUCAGAUUUGGAAGCCGUCCAAGUAAGAGUUUUGUGGAACCAAAGCUCCACUAAUAAGUUGUAUGGUCCAAAGAAAAAGGAAAAUGGACCAAUAUGGCUGUGAAAAUGAGAUAAAAUGGGAGAUGGGAGAGAGAUUUGAGGCCUCCAUUUCAAUUACUUUUUGUCAUGCAUGAGUGCUAACUUUUGUGUUUUAGCAUAAAAGAAAGGGAAAUCAAGGACCGCGUUUUUAUAACGCAGACAAAGACAUGCCUAAAGAGAGAGAAACAAUGGAGGAAACUUGGAGAGAUUGGAUGGGAGAAGAUAUGGUGGCAAAGCAUCUACAAAAGACAAGCAAAAGGUUGUGUCAUGUGUGACAACAACCUGAGCUUUUCUUGCGUACGCAUAGCAAUCAAGCCAUGUCUCUUUUCUCCUUCUUGUACUUUAGCCAUUCUGCCACUUAUUGUUCUAUUUUGGCUUCAUUGUCAUGAUUAUAUGUUUAAUUUAGUCUUAUGGUUUGCAAGCUGUGCAAUGCAGAGGCAAUGAGGCGUGACUUUCACAAAAGCCUCAGCCAUUUAGUUGUCUAACCAAACGUUAUCGUCUCAGGUUAGAACGGAAUUUGAGAGCCAAUAUCUGCAGCGGGCUGCUCAGAGUCCAUUGACUCUGAAACCUGCUUGCAUCCUGGCAAGAAAAGGAGGAGUGUUGAUUAUUUCCAUUUGCUUAUUUAAUGCAUGUUUACUGCGAUUCUUAGAAUGGUUUGUUAAAUGUGGGCACGGUUGCUCUGUUUAACCAGGGACACCAAUAUUGGGUUUAGAAAUUGAAUAAGGUUUUUAUUUGGUAAAGAAAAAGAAGGAAAGAUGACAGGUUUGCAGCUUAGUACUAAAGUUUCUGAUUGCUAGGUUGGUGGAAGAAAACUGCAGACAUGGUUGGCCAAGCAGAGCGUUGAUUGAGGGUGACCCACUCUCCAUUUCCUUGCUCAACAUGAUCAUAGGAGGAGAGCCAAUUUCCAGUUCAUGAGCCCAUCCAUCUUGUCCAAACCAAACCCUCACUCCUAGGAGGCUUCCUGAUCACAAAAGCAUUUUGGCACAUGAAAUUGAAAAGUGAUGGAUGAUUACACUUUACACGAGAAAAUGUGUUUUAGAGCUUCAAAAAUAAAGCUGGAAUUGCUAGCUGGCGACUUGUGUGUCUAGAGUUUUGUCUCUCAAUCUCUUCCUAGUGCAUAACAUGUGGAAUCUGUAUUGUUUACUAGAUAUGAGCUGA
Populus nigra (black poplar) is the source of this 1717-nucleotide long non-coding RNA. RefSeq lists it as uncharacterized. The transcript has 2 exons. The record is from RefSeq and is a predicted model, not a curated record. Lineage: Eukaryota; Viridiplantae; Streptophyta; Magnoliopsida; Malpighiales; Salicaceae.